This 468-nucleotide ribosomal RNA is filed under the name uncultured bacterium. Its description in RNAcentral is "partial 16S ribosomal RNA". It matches the Rfam family "Bacterial small subunit ribosomal RNA", at positions 28 to 507 of the family's 1533-position model. The record is from RNAcentral.
GACGAACGCUGGCGGCGUGCUUAACACAUGCAAGUCGAACGGAAAGGCCCUGCUUUUGUGGGGUGCUCUAAUGGCGAACGGGUGAGUAAAACGUGAGUAACCUGCCCUUGACUUUGGGAUAACUUCAGGAAACUGGGGCUAAUACCGGAUAGGAGUUUCUGCUGCAUGGUGGGGGUUGGAAAGUUUCGGCGGUUGGGGAUGGACUCGCGGCUUAUCAGCUUGUUGGUGGGGUAGUGGCUUACCAAGGCUUUGACGGGUAGCCGGCCUGAGAGGGUGACCGGCCACAUUGGGACUGAGAUACGGCCCAGACUCCUACGUGAGGCAGCAGUGGGGAAUAUUGCACAAUGGGCGGAAGCCUGAUGCAGCAACGCCGCGUGCGGGAUGACGGCCUUCGGGUUGUAAACCGCUUUCGCCUGUGACGAAGCGUGAGUGACGGUAAUGGGUAAAGAAGCACCGGCUAACUACGUG